GGUGGAGCCCCAGGAGCGCUGAGGAUGCACCACCUGCAGCUGGGGCUGCUCCCCGGCCCGGCGACAUCCCGGCUCUGGCAGCCAAACAGGGCAGUUCUGCUCCCUUUGGAGGGUAUCCCUGGUGUUGGAUUGCCUUGUGGCUGUGGGAUGUUCCUGUCCCUGGGUCCCUCAUGGCCGAGGACAGCUGCCGCUUCUCGGUGAGGGCGGGAGCCAGAAUUGAUCACCUGAUGUCUGCUGAGUACAGGAGAUGCAGGAGCUGAGGGGGAAGAAACACAGGCUGUUAAACUGAGUGCAACAUCCAGGAGUGCCUUGUCCAAGAAGCUGGGUACUGAAAAGGAAACCCUGCAAUGGAGCCUCGAGGCAGGGAAGCAGCUGCUCCAGUAGUGAUGGGGAUUCUUUUCUUUUGGCUCCCUUAUCUUCUUUGUCCUCAUGAGUGACGAACAGGGAAAGCAAACUUGGCUCCUCGUGCAACGCAUGGCUUGUGGGAGCGGCAAAACCACCUCAGUGCUGCUAUGGAGUGCUAAUAAAAUACUUGUUAGUGGCCUUGGCUAUUUACGGACCUCAUGUUGGAGCUGCAGUGGGGGUUUCCCUAUUGGUCCACGUUACAGGAAGCCGCACCGCGGACGAGGAGCUAAAAUCGUAUUUUACAGUCUGGAUCAGCAAAUCUUUUGAAGUUCAUUGAUUAAAGCUCGGCACAAAGUUAUUUCUGGCUGGCAGUUCUGACCUGUCCCUGACUUUGCGGAGAGAGUCUGGAGAACGCCAGGGCUCCGUGCGCUACAGCGCUUGGGCUGGUACCGAAUGGAGGAGCAGGGGGUGGCCGGGGGGGACACUGGGUGAAGCACAGCGGUGACAAGCACCACGCAGCUCCCUGUGGGACACAGACAGAUGUGGCUCCGUGUUUCCUGCAGGAACAGGCUCCCGGCACCCCUCUGAGGGAGGCAGCGGCUCAGGCAGGGUGCAGGGAGCUCCUUGGGUGACAACCUUGUGGCUCAAUAAAUGAGGCUCUGUUCGACUUCCUGGACGGACAGUGGGCUGGCUGUACUGAAAGAGGAAUUGCAGAGCUCUUGGAGAAAGGCAGAAUCCUCCUGAAAUCUGCAGGUGUAAGAGCUGCUAGAAAAAUUUUAAAUGCUUUGUACUAAAUUCAGCAGAAGCUGAGAAUGAAGUUUCAAGAAGGAGUUAAGGGAGAGAAAACAUCUAAAAUAAAUCUCUGACUCUGUCUAUCUGCUAAAGGGCCAGAAAAGGAGAGGAAAAAAGAAAAGUGGUUGAAAGCAUUGUAUGGAGGCUGGAAAUCCUUUGUGGAGUGAAGCUGCUCUCUUAUCCUCUUGUUUGAGAAGGGACUCGAUAUUUGUCUUCUGGGCACAAUUGAGAGAAAAUGUUCUGUGUGAUUUAGGAAAUCAACACAAUUCAUUCAAUUCACCUAGCGAAAGAAAAAUCACAAGACAUCGCCCAUGAUUAAACCAAUCUAGUGCCAUUCUGUUCUGGUCUCAGACAUUCCCCAGUCAGAAAAACAAGGGAACAUCUUCAGAUGGGUUCUUUGCUGUAUAAGAAAUGUGGGGUGAUUUCUUUUUCACCAACCAAUCCUGGUUCUAAAUCUACAACCAAUUUAUUUUCAAUGUACUUAAACUGGAACUACAAAACUUUAAGUCAAUAUUAUGAAAACACUCCACACCAAAGACUACCCCAAAACAUUUCCCCCCACCAAAAAUACCCAAACACACAAAUCAAAAAAUCAAACACAAAACCAAAAUCAACCAACCAAACUAAAAAAAGAACAAAACCCAACACACAAACCCAGAAGGAAGGGUAAAUGUACUCUUACUGGUGUCCUUGGAGAGCUCUCACCUCCAAAUGUUACAAGGUGACUGUGCCGGACAGGUUUUUGUCCUGAACAUCUUCUAAGAAUGAUUAUUUGUCCUCAUUCAUUGCUUUGUAAGAGUCCCCUUCCCUCUAGGUCAGUCCAUGAGCACUAUGCACAGCUCCCUGGAAUCAAUCAGGGAACUUUGUAUUAGUUUCAGGCUCAUUAUUUUUCCAGGGGAAAAAAAAAAAAAAAAAAAAAAAAAAAAAAGUGGAGACAUGUAAUAAGAUCAGUUACCUGUGGAGGUAAUUUAAAUUCUUCUCUCUCUAGUUAAUGAGCAGAAUAGACAGGAACCUAAAGAUGAAGGUGGUUAUGCCAGUGCUGUCAAAAUCUGCAUAAAAGGGGCGGAAAACUAAGACUAAAAUAAUGACUUUGUGUAGAAUUAACAGAAAAUUCUCAACAAUUGGCAUUAAUGUUCCCAGGGAAGUGAUGUAAAUAUCUGGUUAUUUGACUUCAGUCAGACUUUACAUGCUUAAAGCCGAAUCACAGCAGAUGAAACAGCACAAUUUUAAGUCACCGGUUCCUGCCUAACGAGUUCCCUUAGCAUCGCUCAGGGCAGCCAUUGCCAGCCUUUGUGGAACACGGUACUUGUGAUUAACGCGGACAGGGAAUUCACCGCGUGAGGCUCUUGAGUUAGAAAGAUAUGCAAAGCUUUCAUCCCAAGCUGCCAUUUGUACACUGCUAAAUGCAGCAUCCCAAAUCCUGAGAGCAGCUUCUCCCAUUUUGUAGAACGAGUAGCAAACAUCCUGCUGGAGAAGGUUCCUGUCAGGCUUUCGCUGUGCUAUCUUGGCAUAUAUUUUAUAUCUGGUAUCACAGAUUUCUGUGUGGGAGCUAGGGAACUUGUUCGUGGCAGGGACCAUCCUAAGGAUGUUUGUGUUUUACACGUGUCAUCGUGGACUUGGGAUACUCGGGAGUGUCUUCGCCGUGCCCGCUCGUCUUGUAGGGUGCUUUUAUUGCCAUGGAUCGGCUGCUAAAUCACUGUUUACUCAGCCCCUCUGCUUUGCUUUAAGAGUUCUGCCACUGCAAACCAGCUCAGAGAGACCGAUUCCUGAGCCGAAGGAUCCUACACUGAUAACAGCGCUGAUAAAGCCCGGGAAGAGACGGGAUGAGCCGCUGGAACCGCUGCCGCCCCGGCCACUGAAGGGCUGCCUCCCAGAAGAUGGAGCUAUUUCCCUGAGACUGCUGAUGGAGACGCUAAAUUCAGCAUCGCACGAAAUUGGGGGAUUCUUAGAGAUGUCAGAGAACUAUUCUUCUCAGCUGAGAGGAAGAAAAAAAGAAAUGAGUGUGCUGACCAUAGUUAUUUUGUUAUAAAAUAAAGGGUUUGUUUGUUUUUUUACCU
Long non-coding RNA from Hirundo rustica (Barn swallow), 3194 nucleotides. RefSeq lists it as uncharacterized. The record is from RefSeq and is a predicted model, not a curated record. The transcript is spliced from 3 exons. Lineage: Eukaryota; Metazoa; Chordata; Aves; Passeriformes; Hirundinidae.